This 429-nucleotide ribosomal RNA is filed under the name Gemmatimonadota bacterium. RNAcentral's name for it is "Gemmatimonadetes bacterium partial 16S ribosomal RNA". It matches the Rfam family "Bacterial small subunit ribosomal RNA", at positions 355 to 776 of the family's 1533-position model. Lineage: Bacteria; Pseudomonadati; Gemmatimonadota. The record is from RNAcentral.
UAGGGAAUCUUCUGCAAUGGACGAAAGUCUGACCGAGCAACGCCGCGUGAGUGAAGAAGGUUUUCGGAUCGUAAAACUCUGUUGUUAGAGAAGAACAAGGACGUUAGUAACUGAACGUCCCCUGACGGUAUCUAACCAGAAAGCCACGGCUAACUACGUGCCAGCAGCCGCGGUAAUACGUAGGUGGCAAGCGUUGUCCGGAUUUAUUGGGCGUAAAGCGAGCGCAGGCGGUAUCUUAAGUCUGAUGUGAAAGCCCCCGGCUCAACCGGGGAGGGUCAUUGGAAACUGGGAGACUGGAGUGCAGAAGAGGAGAGUGGAAUUCCAUGUGUAGCGGUGAAAUGCGUAGAUAUAUGGAGGAACACCAGUGGCGAAGGCGGCUCUCUGGUCUGUACCUGACGCUGAGGCUAGAAAGCGUGGGGAGCAAACAGG